GGAGGUGACACAGAGGUGACACAUGGUGACAUAGAUGUGAUACAGGUGACAUAGAGGUGACACGGAGGUGACACGGGACGUCAGGUCCUCCACCCCAACCUCCUCUCAUUGGCCAACGUCAAGCAGAGGAGCCAUAGAGAUGGGGACGUGGUAUUGCCAUACAUGGAUACGUGGUGAGGUGGAGGUGACACAGAGGUGACAGGUGGUGACAUAGAUGCGAUACAGGUGACAUAGAGGUGACACGGAGGUGACACGGAGGUGACACGGGCCAUCAGGUCCUCCACCACAACCUCCUCUCAUUGGCCAACGUCAAGCAGAGGAGCCAUAGAGAUGGGGACGUGGUAUUGCCAUACAUGGAUACGUGGUGAGGUGGAGGUGACACAGAGGUGACAGGUGGUGACAUAGAUGCGAUACAGGUGACAUAGAGGUGACACGGAGGUGACACGGAGGUGACACGGGCCAUCAGGUCCUCCACCACAACCUCCUCUCAUUGGCCAACGUCAAGCAGAAGGCUCAUGGAGAUGGGAGCACGGUGUUGCCACACACAGACCCGUGGUGACACAACAGUCGGGUGACACCUCAGCGGGGGUGACAUGGUGGUGGUGACUCCGUGUGACACCCGCCCGUCCCCAACCCACCCUCCAGAUCUACUGCCAGAACCUGUGCCUGCUGGCCAAGCUCUUCCUGGACCACAAGACGCUCUACUUCGACGUGGAGCCCUUCGUCUUCUACCUGCUGACCGAGGUGGACCGCCAGGGGGCGCACAUCGUGGGCUACUUCUCCAAGGAGAAGGAGUCCCCCGAUGGGAACAACGUCGCCUGCAUCCUGACGCUGCCGCCGUACCAACGCCGCGGAUACGGGAAGUUCCUCAUCGCCUUCAGUUACGAGCUGUCCAAGCUGGAGAGCACCGUGGGAUCCCCCGAGAAGCCGCUGUCGGAUCUGGGCAAGCUGAGCUACCGCAGCUACUGGUCCUGGGUGCUGCUGGAGAUCCUCAGGGACUUCCGAGGCACGCUGUCCAUCAAGGACCUCAGCCAGAUGACCAGCAUCACGCAGACUGA
This 1058-nucleotide long non-coding RNA is filed under the name Chrysolophus pictus (golden pheasant). RNAcentral's name for it is "lncRNA (ENSCPIG00010014092.1)". The record is from RNAcentral. Lineage: Eukaryota; Metazoa; Chordata; Aves; Galliformes; Phasianidae.